This 326-nucleotide ribosomal RNA is filed under the name uncultured eukaryote. Its description in RNAcentral is "partial 18S ribosomal RNA". It matches the Rfam family "Eukaryotic small subunit ribosomal RNA", at positions 1470 to 1796 of the family's 1831-position model. The record is from RNAcentral.
CCCUUAGAUGUUCUGGGCCGCACGCGCGCUACACUGACGAAUGCAACGAGCUUAUAACCUUGGCCGAAAGGUCUGGGUAAUCUCCAAAUUUCGUCGUGAUGGGGAUAGAUUAUUGCAAUUAUUAAUCUUCAACGAGGAAUGCCUAGUAAGCGCAAGUCAUCAGCUUGCGUUGAUUACGUCCCUGCCCUUUGUACACACCGCCCGUCGCUCCUACCGAUUGAGCAAACCGGUGAAUAGUUUGGACCGUCGGCUUUCUUGGUUCGCCGGGUUAGCAGUACGGAAAAUUCAGUGAACCUUUUUGCUUAGAGGAAGGAGAAGUCGUAACA